GACGAACGCUGGCGGCGUGCCUAACACAUGCAAGUCGAACGAGAAUCUAGAAUCUGAUCCCUUCGGGGUGAAGAUUUUAGAGGACAGUGGCGGACGGGCGAGUAACGCGUGAGUAACCUGCCCAUAAGAGGGGGAUAACACAUUGAAAAGUGUGCUAAUACCGCAUAUUGUCAUUUAAUCGCAUGAUUGAAUGAUGAAAGAUUUAUCGCUUAUGGAUGGACUCGCGUAAGAUUAGCUAGUUGGUGAGGUAAUGGCUCACCAAGGCGACGAUCUUUAGCCGAACUGAGAGGUUGAUCGGCCGCAUUGGGACUGAGACACGGCCCAGACUCCUACGGGAGGCAGCAGUGGGGAAUAUUGCGCAAUGGGGGAAACCCUGACGCAGCAACGCCGCGUGAAGGAAGAAGGUCUUCGGAUUGUAAACUUCUGUCGCAAGGGAAGAAAAAAAUGACGGUACCUUGUGAGAAAGCCACGGCUAACUACGUGCCAGCAGCCGCAGUAACA
RNAcentral lists this ribosomal RNA (501 nucleotides) under uncultured bacterium. RNAcentral describes it as "bacterial SSU rRNA". It matches the Rfam family "Bacterial small subunit ribosomal RNA", at positions 28 to 525 of the family's 1533-position model. The record is from RNAcentral.